RNAcentral lists this non-coding RNA (29 nucleotides) under Mus musculus (house mouse). Lineage: Eukaryota; Metazoa; Chordata; Mammalia; Rodentia; Muridae. The record is from RNAcentral.
UAAUCAUUGGCUCUACUUUGCUUUUGGGU